AAGAAUAAAUUUUAAUUUAUUAUUUAUAUAAUAAUAAUUAAAAAAGAGAAUAAUAAAUAAUAUUAAAGAACAUGAUGUUGGUUCAGAUUAAAUGCUAAAUAAGGACAUUACACAUGCGAAUUAAACGUUUAAUUAAUUAUUAAUUAAAUAUGUAGUGAAAAUGUGAGUAAUAUAUAGGAAAUCUGAACUAUAAAUUAAGUUAAAUACUUAAUAAUAAAUAAAGAAUAAUAUUUGUUUAUAGUCGAGCCUAUAUUAGUUUAGGUAGUAGGUUUAUUAAAAGUUAAACCUAGCCAACGAUCUAUAAUCGAUAAUUAAAGUUAGAACGAUCACAUUGACUUUGAAAUAAUUAGUCAAUAUCUAUAUGAUACAGCAGUGAGGAAUAUUGGACAAUGAUCGAAAGAUUGAUCCAGUUACUUAUUAGGAUGAUAUAUAAUUAAUUAAAUAUAAUUAUAUAUAUAUAUAUAUAUUUAUUUAUAUAUAUAUAUAUAUUUAUUAUAUUAUAAUAUAUAAUAUAUAAUAUAUAUAAAUUGAUUAAAAAUAAAAUCCAUAAAUAGUUUAAAUAAUGAUAUAAACUAACAUAUAUAAAAUAUGUAUAUUAUUAUUAUUAAUAAUAUUUUAAUAGUCCUUACCAAGAUUUGUGCCAGCAGUAGCGGUAAGACAAAGAGGGCUAGCAUUAAUCAUAAUGGUUUAAAGGAUUCGUAGAAUGAAUAUAUUAAAUAUUUAGAAUUAAUAAAUAAUUAUUAAAGAAUUAUAAUAGUAAAGAUGAAAUAAUUAUGAUAAUUAUAAGACUUAUAUAUGUGAAAAUAUUAAUAAUUUAUUAAUUGACAUUGAGGAAUGAAGACUAGAGUAGCGAAACGGAUUCGAUACCCGUGUAGUUCUAGUAGUAAACGAUGAAUACCCAUUAAUUAUUAUAAAAUAAUUAAUGAAAUGAAAAUUAAAGUAUUCCACCUGAAGAGUACGUUCGCAAGAAUGAAACUCAAAACAAUAGACGGUUACAGACUUAAGCAGUGGAGCAUGUUAUUUAAUUCGAUAAUCCACGAUAAUCUUACCAUUUUUUGAAUAUUUAUUAUUAUUAUAUUAUUAAUAUAAUAAUAAUAUUUACAGGCGUUACAUUGUUGUCUUUAAUUCGUGCUGCAAAGUGUUAGAUUAAGUUCAUUAACGAAUAAAACUCCAUAUAUAUAAUAUAUUAAUUAUAUAUAAUAUUAUAUUAUAUUUUUAAUAUAAUGAAAGGAAUUAAGACAAAUCAUAAUGAUCCUAAUAUAAUGGGCUAUAGACGUGCUAUAAUAAUAUAAUAAUAAAAUUAUAUAAUAUUUAUUAAUAAAAAUAAAUAUAAUUAAUAAUAGAAAAUAUAUUAAUCUUUAAUAUAUAUUAUAAUUAAUUAUUAAUUAUAAUUAAUAUAUAUAUUAUAUAUAAUAUGAAUUAUAAUCUGAAAUUCGAUUAUAUGAAAAAAGAAUUGCUAGUAAUACGUAAUUUAGUAUAUUACGGUGAAUAUUCUAACUGUUUCGCACUAAUUACUCAUCACGCGUUGAAACAUAUAAUUAUCCUAAUAUAUAAUAUUUAUAUACAAGAAAUUAUACGAAUUUAUGCGAAGUUGAAAUACAGUUAUCGUAGGGGAACCUGCGGUGGGCUUAUAAAUAUCUUAAUAUUCUU
Molecule: non-coding RNA, 1650 nt
Filed under: Oligophagozyma castellii
Lineage: Eukaryota; Fungi; Ascomycota; Saccharomycetes; Saccharomycetales; Saccharomycetaceae
Description: [Candida] castellii 15S ribosomal RNA
Rfam family: Bacterial small subunit ribosomal RNA
Source: RNAcentral